GUGUAAGUUGUUAAGGGCACACGGUGGAUGCCUUGGCAUCAGGAGCCGAUGAAGGACGUGUGAAUCUGCGAUAAGCCUCGGGGAGCCGAUAACUGGGCGUGGAUCCGAGGAUUUCCGAAUGGGGAAACCUCGCUCAUCGUUUUGGUGGGUGACCGCUGGUUGAAUGUAUAGGCCAGUUGGGGGGAACGCGGGGAAGUGAAACAUCUCAGUACCCGCAGGAAGAGAAAAUAAUAAUGAUUCUGUUAGUAGUGGCGAGCGAACGCGGAUGAGGCUAAACCUGUGGUGUGUGAUAGCGGUUAGGUGUUGCAUCAUGGGUGUUGUGGGAGUUGUUGUGGUGGUUCUAACUGGUCACCGGCGUAGUGCAUGAUGGUAGGCGAACUGGCUUGGAAUGGUCGACCGUAGUGGGUGAGAGUCCCGUAGUUGAAAGUGUUGUGUGUGCGUUGACAAUGUCCCGAGUAGCACGGGGCUCGUGGAAUCUCGUGUGAAUCUGCCAGGACCACCUGGUAAGUCUAAAUACUUCCUGAUGACCGAUAGUGGAUCAGUACCGUGAGGGAAUGGUGAAAAGUACCCCGGGAGGGGAGUGAAAUAGUACCUGAAACCGUGUGCUUACAAGCCGUUAUAGCCCCCCUUUUGUGUGGGGUGGUGGCGUGCCUUUUGAAGAAUGAGCCUGCGAGUUAGUGUUUUGUCGCGAGGUUAACCCGUGUGGGGUAGUCGUAGCGAAAGCGAGUC
This 729-nucleotide ribosomal RNA is filed under the name Cutibacterium acnes. RNAcentral's name for it is "partial 23S ribosomal RNA". It matches the Rfam family "Bacterial large subunit ribosomal RNA", at positions 1 to 683 of the family's 2925-position model. Lineage: Bacteria; Bacillati; Actinomycetota; Actinomycetes; Propionibacteriales; Propionibacteriaceae. The record is from RNAcentral.